Molecule: ribosomal RNA, 320 nt
Filed under: uncultured Prevotella sp.
Lineage: Bacteria; Pseudomonadati; Bacteroidota; Bacteroidia; Bacteroidales; Prevotellaceae
Description: partial 16S ribosomal RNA
Source: RNAcentral
GGAGUUUGGACCGUGUCUCAGUUCCAAUGUGGGGGACCUUCCUCUCAGAACCCCUACUGAUCGUCGCCUCGGUGGGCCGUUACCCCGCCGACUGGCUAAUCAGACGCAUCCCCAUCCCUUAGCGAUAAAUCUUUAGUCCUCCUUAGAUGCCUGCAAAGGACAACAUAGGGUAUUAAUCCGACUUUCGCCGGGCUAUGCCCUACUAAGGGGAAGGUUGGAUACGCGUUACUCACCCGUGCGCCGGUCGCCAGCGACAAUAGCAAGCUAUCGUCCUGCUGCCCCUCGACUUGCAUGUGUUAAGCCUGUAGCUAGCGUUCAUC